RNAcentral lists this long non-coding RNA (487 nucleotides) under Theobroma cacao (cacao). RNAcentral's name for it is "long non-coding RNA (TCAC_LNC003491)". Lineage: Eukaryota; Viridiplantae; Streptophyta; Magnoliopsida; Malvales; Malvaceae. The record is from RNAcentral.
GGAAUAUCUGUGGUUAGGGAUUAACGGGGCAUGUUGCCUAAAUAUCUCAUACCUAGGAAAAUUGUUGGAGGAAAUUGACAAAGAGGUAAAACAAAAUUGACAUCAGGGUUUAGCCAUUUUGCUUAUUGCCUGCUACUGCUAGGGUCUGUGGUCCUGCUUCGACCCAACCACGUAAGGAAGAAAUGGGAGCCCAUUUGGCUGUGGAAGGUUUAGACAAUCAGCAAUACAAGCAACAUGCUAACAUCUGGCCCCCUCUGCCUUCCUUCGUUGGGUAGAAGUCACUUUUCAACCCUUCUGGAAGACAGACAGCCCUUCAAUUUGGGUAGAAAUAUGACUUAUGCCAGAUAUAGAAAUAAACCAUCCUUGAAGACAUCCUUCAAUUAGGAAAGACUUCGACAAAAACUAUGAAGAUAUGCUGGACGUUGCUAUCCCUGAUAAAUGUAAGAUAAGAUCGACCAUCCAAGUUGGCAUAACACUUGUGAUGAGG